CCUACGGGCGGCAGCAGUGGGGAAUAUUGCACAAUGGGGGGAACCCUGAUGCAGCGACGCCGCGUGAGUGAAGAAGUAUUUCGGUAUGUAAAGCUCUAUCAGCAGGGAAGAAAAUGACGGUACCUGACUAAGAAGCCACGGCUAACUACGUGCCAGCAGCCGCGGUAAUACGUAGGGGGCAAGCGUUAUCCGGAUUUACUGGGUGUAAGGGGAGCGUAGACGGUUAUGCAAGUCUGAAGUGAAAGCCCGAGGCUCAACCAUGGGACUGCUUUGGAAACUGUAAAACUGGAGUGCAGGAGAGGUAAGCGGAAUUCCUAGUGUAGCGGUGAAAUGCGUAGAUAUUAGGAGGAACACCAGUGGCGAAGGCGGCUUACUGGACUGUAACUGACGUUGAUGCUCGAAAGCGCGGGUAUCGAACAGGAUUAGAUACCCCUGUAGUC
Molecule: ribosomal RNA, 440 nt
Filed under: uncultured bacterium
Lineage: Bacteria
Description: partial 16S ribosomal RNA
Rfam family: Bacterial small subunit ribosomal RNA
Source: RNAcentral